This 253-nucleotide ribosomal RNA is filed under the name uncultured bacterium. RNAcentral's name for it is "partial 16S ribosomal RNA". It matches the Rfam family "Bacterial small subunit ribosomal RNA", at positions 524 to 776 of the family's 1533-position model. The record is from RNAcentral.
UACGGAGGAUCCAAGCGUUAUCCGGAAUCAUUGGGUUUAAAGGGUCCGUAGGCGGGCCUGUAAGUCAGUGGUGAAAUCUUUCGGCUCAACCGGAAAAUUGCCAUUGAUACUGCAGGCCUUGAAUUAUUGGGAAGUAACUAGAAUAUGUAGCGUAGCGGUGAAAUGCUUAGAUAUUACAUGGAAUACCGAUUGCGAAGGCAGGUUACUAUCAAUACAUUGACGCUGAUGGACGAAAGCGUGGGGAGCGAACAGG